GGAGUUUGGGCCGUGUCUCAGUCCCAAUGUGGCCGGUCAUCCUCUCAGAUCGGCUACUGAUCGUCGUCUUGGUGGGCCGUUACCCCGCCUACUAUCUAAUCAGACGCAUCCCCAUCCCUUAGCGAUGAAUCUUUGGUCCUCGUCAGAUGUCUUCAAAGGACAACAUAGGGAAUUAAUCCGACUUUCGCCGGGCUGUGCCCUACUAAGGGGAAGGUUGGAUACGCGUUACUCACCCGUGCGCCGGUCGCCAUCUAUCAAAGCAAGCUUCGAUAAUGUUGCCCCUCGACUUGCAUGUGUUAAGCCUGUAGCUAGCGUUCAUC
RNAcentral lists this ribosomal RNA (320 nucleotides) under uncultured Prevotella sp. RNAcentral describes it as "partial 16S ribosomal RNA". The record is from RNAcentral. Lineage: Bacteria; Pseudomonadati; Bacteroidota; Bacteroidia; Bacteroidales; Prevotellaceae.